This is an RNA transcript of Solanum dulcamara, 6305 nucleotides long. RefSeq lists it as uncharacterized. The transcript has 13 exons. NCBI's taxonomy places the organism in Eukaryota, Viridiplantae, Streptophyta, Magnoliopsida, Solanales, Solanaceae. The record is from RefSeq and is a predicted model, not a curated record.
UCCUGGAUAGAGGAAGUUAGGCAAAUGUAGAGUAUUUAAAUGAUUAAUUAGAUGACCAAAUAGACACCUCUUAAUUAGAUUACUUGUCAUAAUCCAUGCUGACAAGUAAUCCAAGUAAGUGACACCAAAUAAUAGUCCAUAAAAUCUCCAUUUUCUCCUUAUGCCAACAAAGACUGAACAGUUGCUGAGUAGUCAGGACACAACUUCCCAGACCUCAGCCCUCACGCUGCUAUUCCCUCUUUUGUUCGUUAGUAUCGAGCAACAGAGAUACUCUCUGCAAGUAUACAUACAAAAACACCUUCAUCGCGGAUAGAUAGCUAAUUCUCAUUCCGAUUCCGACGUACCUCUCAUAUUCUUGUGCUUCACCAGUAAGUCUCCCUUAUGCAUAUAUCUGUUCAAUUUGAGAUAUACAUAUGCAUAUAUCUGUUCAAUUUGAGAUAGGAUUUCUGCAUAGAUAUAUAUGCCUUGUUAUACUUGUUUAGGCGCAUGAGAUACAUUUAUGCAUACGAUUGAGUUGCUAUAGAAUACAUUGAUGGUGCACAAGAAGCGGACCGUCGCUCCUCGUCCCAAACACUCAAAUGCCCCCGAAGAUGCGGCAAUUCCGUUGAUUGAAUCGGAACAAAACCUAGUUUCAGUUUGUCCAUCAGUUCAGAAUAAACUAUCGAGCAAAAAGGACGCUUCGGCUGUUGUUGAACGUGAGAAGAAUGCCUUAUCGUCGUCGUUAGCUUUUUAUGCUUCAAUAAAGCUCGAGUGUGAGCGUGCCCUAACAUCCCUGCGCCGGGGGAACCAUACGAAAGCCCUAAGAUUGAUCAAGGAACUUUCUAGCAAGCAUGACAACUCGCCUCAUGCACCUCUUAUUCAUCGUGUCCAGGGCACUGUUUGUGCUAAGAUGGCCUCUAUGAUUGAUGAUCCCAAUGCUAAACAUAGACAUUUGAAGAAUGCCAUUGAGAGUGCUAGGAAAGCUGUUUCACUGUCUCCAAAUUCGAUUGAGUUUGCACAUUUCUAUGCUAAUUUGUUGUAUGAGGCUGCAAAUGAAGGGAAGGAAUAUGAGGAAGUUGUGCAGGAGUGUCAAAGGGCAUUGGCAAUUGAGAAUCCCAUAGAUCCUGCAAAACAGAGCUUAAAGGAGGAUAGUCAACAGAAGGAUGAGAAACCUCAUGCUCGGAUUGACCAAGUACGUAUUGAACUCCAAAGUUUAAUUCAGAAGUCGAACUUUGCAUCCAUUUCUACUUGGGUGAAUCAAAUAGGCAAUGGUGUGGAAAAAAUCAGGUUGAUCCCAAUUAGGAGGGUGCCAGAGGACCCAAUGGAGAUGAGGUUGGUUCAAGCAAGAAGGCCAAAUGAGAUUAAAAAGGUGACUAAGACGCCUGAAGAGAGGAGGAAGGAGAUUGAGGUCCGAGUGGCUGCUGCAAGGCUGUUGCAAAAGAAGUCUGAAACUGUCCAAACGCACAAUGAUGAGGAUAAAGCUCUGGAUCUGACAACAGGAUCAGAGCAGAGAAUUGGUGAGAGGAGGAAGAGCGGAAAUGCAAGGAAAAAUCCGUCUUCCACGGAGAGAAGGGAUUCGGUGCAGUCAUAUUGGAACUCCUUGACUUUGGAUAAGAAGAAAGAGUUGCUUAGAAUUACAAUUUCAGAUCUUAAGGCUCAUGUAAGUGCGUCAAAAGACGGAUUGGGUAUUGAAAUUCUAUCUGAGGCUCUAUCAUUAUCUGAAACCAAUAAAGAUUGGAAGUCUUGGAAAUGUUAUCGCUGCAACGAAAAAUUUACUGAUUCUGUAUCACACAACUAUCAUGUUGUGCAUGAACACAUUGGAACUUUGUGUCCUAAAUUGCAGUCCAUAUUGCCUCAGAAUGUGGAGAACGAGUGGGCCGAGAUGCUUCUGAACUGUUCUUGGGAACCCUUAGAUGUUUGUGCGGCUGCAAAGAUGCUUGAUAAACAAUCAAGAUCUCAAGAACAGGGUUUUCUUGAUGAAAAGCACCCAAGAGAUAACACAGAAGAGGAGGUUUUCUGCAAUGAAGACAAAUUGGAUUCAUCACCUAGAAAUAAGAAGUUUGGGGAUAUACGAAAUGAUGAUAAGGUUGAGAGCAGAGUACAUGAUAAGAUCUCAGACAUUGAGAUUGAGUUGAUGGAUUGUGAUGGGAAUUAUGGUACUAAGAAUUGUUUCCUUCCUGACAAGUGGCCACUAUCUGAUGAUCCCGACCGAACAAAGCUUCUUGAAAGAAUUUCUGCUGUAUUCCAGACCCUUAUUGAAAGUAAAUGUCUUGCUUCAAGUCACCUCAGCAAGGUUAUUCAUUUUGCAGUGGAAGAGCUUCAGGGUCUUGCUUUUGGCUAUCAGAUUCUUAGCUACAAUGUUGAUCAAACUCCCUUAUGCAUAUGCUUUCUAGGUGCCCAGGAAUUAAAAAACGUGCUGAAGUUUCUGCAAGAGCUUUUGCAUUCUUGUGGCUUAGGUAGGUAUUACGAGAAAACUAGUUCUCGAGAUGGAGCAGGCAGUGCUAGUCAAGGAGUUGACGAUCUGGAGAAAUUAGUUUUCAGUGAAGAUGGUUCAUGUUUAUUGUUUGAUGAGCGUUUUCUGCCGUGCAAACUUGCUCGAAGUUCAUGUCCAGAUAUAGUUUCUAUUGACGGAACUGCAUAUGUUUUGUCUAGUAAUCAGCACCAGAAUGGAGCUGAACUUGAUCCAGAGGCAUUGUUGUCCUGGAUAUUUACCGGUCUAUCAAGUGUAGAACAAAUGGCAUCCUGGACAUGCGCAAGAGAAGAGAAAGCACAACAAGGUAGCGAAAUUCUUCGUUUUCUGGAGGAGGAGUUUUAUGACCUGCAAUGUUUAUGUGAGAAAAAAUACGAACAUUUAAGUUAUGAGGAAGCACUGGAGGCAAUUGAAGAUAUUUGUUUAGAAGAGGGUAGGAGAAGAGAUCAUGCAACUGAAAUUGUCCGACGAAGUUGUGAUUCUGUUUUGCGGAAGCGGCGAGAAGAUCUUAUAGAAAGUGACAAUGAUGUUACAGUUAUUGGCUAUAGGUUUGAGUUGAAUGCUAUAUCAAAUAUUCUGAAGGAAGCAGAGUCUCUCAAUGUCAAUCGGUUUGGUUUUGAGGAAACUUACAGUGGUGAAACAUCUCAACUUUGUGACAUCGAAUCUAGUGAAGAGGAUGACUGGAGACUGAAGGACUACCUUCAUCAAGUGGACUCUUGUGUGGAAGUUGCACUACAGAGACAGAAGGAACGUGUCUCCAUUGAGCUGAGUAAAGUAGAUGCUCGAAUCAUGCGAGUGGUUGCUGGGAUGCAGCAGCUGAAAGUAAAGCUUGGGAAUGCAUGUGCUCAGGAUUAUCGGAGGAUUUUAGUAACUCUGUUGAAAUCAUAUAUGCGGGCACAUCUGGAGGAUCUGGCUGAGAAGGAUGCUACUGAGAAGUCUGAUGCUGCCAGUGAAGCUUUUUUGGCUGAACUUGCUUGUGAUUCCAAGAAUAGUUCUGGUGGAGGCAAUGGUUGUUCUAAGCAUACACAUGAAAAAAUUAAAGAUAAGAAGAAAAAAAAAGAAUAUCGGAAAACCAAGGGUUCAAAGCCUACUAGUGGCAACGAACUGCAUUUGCUUCGCCAUCAGACUAUGGAGGAUGUCUCAUUUGUAGUUACUCAUGAUGGAGAGAAUCAAGGUGAUGAAACUGUUGGAAAUGGUGAUUCCUUGAAUGAACAGGAGGAGUAUAGACGUAUGAUUGAACUCGAAGCUGAGGAAAGAAAGCUUGAAGAAACUUUGGAAUAUCAAAGACGAAUGGAGAAUGAGGCUAAACUGCAGCAUCUGGUCGAGCAAACUAAGAGAACUGCAAAAACAUGUCCAGGGAGUAUUAAUGCAGUUAUGAAGUCUGAUACUUGCUCGAAGAACAGUGAUAAUGGUCCAGUAAUCGACGAGCAAUUGAAGAGUAGUAAGAAGAUGAACGAAUUCCCGGACAGUUCACGAAGUCUUUCAAAAACCAGUGCUGAAGGAAUGACACAGAGAACUGCAGAUAGUGGAACAAAGACAUUGAGACAGCUACAUGUGGAGGAGGAUGAUGAAGAGAGGUUCCAAGCUGACCUUCAGAAAGCUGUUCGGCAAAGCCUUGACACGUUCCAUGCACAUAAGAAGUCGCCCUUGCUGCCUAGUUCAGGGAACGGACAAAAGGUGUUUCCCAAGGCUGGGACUUUGGGCAAUGCAAAUAGUUUUGGAGAUCUAAAUAAAAUGGAUGUAUAUGGCACUGGGCUAAAGAAUGAAGUUGGGGAAUAUAAUUGCUUUCUUAAUGUCAUCAUACAGUCGUUGUGGCAUCUAAGAAGAUUUCGAGAUGAAUUCCUGAGAACAUCAUCUGAACAUUUUCAUGUUGGUGAUCCAUGUGUGAUAUGUGCUUUGCAUGACAUAUUUAUUGCUUUGAGCACUGCUUCAGCUGAAACAUGCCGAAAGAUGGUUGCUCCUACUUCUUUGAGAAUUGCCCUCAGCAACCUGUAUCCUGAUAGUAAUUUUUUCCAGGAGGGUCAGAUGAAUGAUGCAUCUGAAGUGCUGGGUGUAAUAUUUGAUUCUCUACAUCGGUCGUUUACAUCAGCUUCAGGUGUUUCUGAUACUGAAUCUGCAGAUAGUAGCUGCAUGGGCAUGUGGGAUUGUUCAAAUGGUGCUUGUAUUGUACAUUCUCUUUUCGGGAUGGAUACCUUUGAACAAAUGAAUUGCGACAAUUGUGGAUUGGAGUCCAGACAUCUGAAGUAUACAUCUUUCUUUCACAAUAUUAAUGCCAGUGCCCUCCGUACUAUCAAGGUUGUGCGUCCAGAAAGCUCCUUUGAUGCGCUUCUGAAUCUUGUUGAGAUGAACCAUCAGUUGUCUUGUGAUUCUGAGGUUGGUGGUUGUGGGAAGCUUAACUACAUCCAUCAUAUUCUCUCCACUCCACCUCAUGUGUUUACAACAGUUUUAGGUUGGCAAAAUACUUGUGAGAGUGUAAGUGACAUAACAGCAACAUUAUCAGCUCUUUCUACUGAGGUGGACAUAGGUGUACUUUAUCAUGGUCUAGAUCCUAAAAACAAACAUUGCUUAAUUUCAAUGGUAAACCUCUUCCGACUCUUUUUCAUUACUUUUUGGAAAAACAAACGUUUGAUUUUACAGGCUGAUAGUGUCCAGUGACAAUUCAUCGCAUCAAUAGUAUUAUCGUUAUUCUUGGUCUCAUCAUUUGAUUACACAAUUUUUUGUGAUUUUCUUGGUCCAUGAAAAGUUGUUUUUGUAUUGCUAACAUUUACCGUGUGAGAGGCAUAAACUUUUCAAAUUUUAAAUAAGAAAAUUUAGAAGAUAAAAAAAUAAUUAGCUGGCAGUCAACGUGCCAACUGCAUUUCAGAUAAUCAUCCCUUGUUCCUGUUUGAAAAUUCUUGCAUUUUUAUUUAUUAUAUUGCAUUCUCAACCAAUUCUUUUUACCCAUAAACAAAUGGCUCUCAAUGAAUAUGUGGAUAAGAACUAAUCUUUCCUAGAAGCCUGAUCGACAAACGAAAAGAAGUCUAGUUUCCUUGAAAGGUAUUGUUAGGGAGUAUCUUCUGUUCAUUUUAGAAAAGUACUUAUGUCAAGCCUUGGAAACAGCCUCUGGCAGAAAUGCAAGGUAAGGCUGCGUACAACAGACCCUUGUGGUCGGGCCCUUCCCCGGACCCUGCGCAUAGCGGGAGCUUAAGUGCACCGGGCUGCCCUUUUUACUUAUGUCAUCUUAUAAGCAUUUGGUCUUGAAUGAUUUUGCUUUAAAUGAUGACAUUCCCAUUAAACCAAAGUUCUUUUAAUUUCCAUUUCCUAAUUUCAAUAAUAAUUAGCUUUACUGUUUCCACUUCAGAGCUGGACUGAUAUUGCAGAACUUUAAUAAUCUAGCUGUACUUUCCAUCCACUUUUGGAUAAUUUAAUUUUUUUUUUGGUCUGUGUUAUUUAUCAUAACAUGCUUAAGAUUUGUGAUUAUUCAAUUCCCCCCCCCCCCCCAGAAAAAGAAGCAGCAAAAGGAUACCCAAUUUCUUGUCUUGAUGUUUUUCUGCAUUAAAAGAUCUUCCGCAGUCAAUGGUGAAAACCAUGGGAGGCCAGACUCAAGAGUUCAAAUCCCAAUAGAGACAAAAAUGUGUUAAUGAUUUCUUCCAAUUUGCCUAACCCUUGGUGGUGACAAUGUCCUGGUACCUUUCCUAGUGCUGAGGUGCAUGCAAGCUGGCGGGAGGCAUCGCCAUUAGAGAAAACAAUGAUAGCAACUAUACUUCAAUCCAAAGAUAGAUGGGAUCGGCUGUUUGCUAUUAUGGGCAGCAUUAUCACUGUUUUGCCUACAUUUGUGAGCAUGGGCAGUGGGUCAUGUAUGACGACAAAACUGUGA